GGCUCCAUAGCUCAGUGGUCAGAGCGCUGGUCUUGUAAACCAGUGGUCGUGAGUUCAAAUCUCACUGGGGCCU
Molecule: transfer RNA, 73 nt
Filed under: Chelydra serpentina (North American snapping turtle)
Lineage: Eukaryota; Metazoa; Chordata; Testudines; Chelydridae
Rfam family: tRNA
About the family: Transfer RNA (tRNA) molecules are approximately 80 nucleotides in length. Their secondary structure includes four short double-helical elements and three loops (D, anti-codon, and T loops). Further hydrogen bonds mediate the characteristic L-shaped molecular structure. tRNAs have two regions of fundamental functional importance: the anti-codon, which is responsible for specific mRNA codon recognition, and the 3' end, to which the tRNAs corresponding amino acid is attached (by aminoacyl-tRNA synthetases). tRNAs cope with the degeneracy of the genetic code in two manners: having more than one tRNA (with a specific anti-codon) for a particular amino acid; and 'wobble' base-pairing, i.e. permitting non-standard base-pairing at the 3rd anti-codon position.
Source: Rfam by way of RNAcentral